CCUCACCCUCGUAAGACUACCCGCUGAACUUAAGCAUAUCAA
This 42-nucleotide ribosomal RNA is filed under the name Metschnikowia pulcherrima. RNAcentral describes it as "partial large subunit ribosomal RNA". The record is from RNAcentral. Lineage: Eukaryota; Fungi; Ascomycota; Pichiomycetes; Serinales; Metschnikowiaceae.